UUGACCUCAAAUCAGGUAGGACUACCCGCUGAACUUAAGCAUAUCAAUAAGCGGAGGAAAAGAAACUAACAAGGAUUCCCCUAGUAACUGCGAGUGAAGCGGGAAAAGCUCAAAUUUAAAAUCUGGCGGUCUCUGGCCGUCCGAGUUGUAAUCUAGAGAAGUGUUAUCCGCGCUGGACCGUGUACAAGUCUCCUGGAAUGGAGCGUCAUAGAGGGUGAGAAUCCCGUCUUUGACACSGACUGCCARGGCUUUGUGAUGCGCUCUCCAAGAGUCGAGUUGUUGGGGAAUGCAGCUCAAAAUGGGUGGGUAAAUUCCAUCUAAAGCU
RNAcentral lists this ribosomal RNA (325 nucleotides) under uncultured fungus. RNAcentral's name for it is "eukaryotic LSU rRNA". It matches the Rfam family "Eukaryotic large subunit ribosomal RNA", at positions 1 to 317 of the family's 3401-position model. Lineage: Eukaryota; Fungi. The record is from RNAcentral.